CCUUGGUUCUAUUUUGUUGGUUUUUAGGAACCACGGUAAUGAUUAAUAGGGACAGUUGGGGACAUUCGUAUUUAAUUGUCAGAGGUGAAAUUCUUGGAUCUAUUAAAGACGAACUAUUGCGAAAGCAUUUGUCAAGGAUGUUUUCAUUAAUCAAGAACGAAAGUUAGGGGAUCGAAGACGAUUAGAUACCGUCGUAGUCUUAACCAUAAACUAUGCCGACUAGGGAUCGGGCGGUGUUAUUUUUUUAUGACCCGCUCGGCACCUUACGAGAAAUCAAAGUUUUUAGGCUCCGGGGGGAGUAUGGUCACAAGGCUGAAACUUAAAGGAAUUGACGGAAGGGCACCACCAGGAGUGGAGCCUGCGGCUUAAUUUGACUCAACACGGGGAAAC
Molecule: ribosomal RNA, 390 nt
Filed under: fungal sp.
Lineage: Eukaryota; Fungi
Description: SSU rRNA
Rfam family: Eukaryotic small subunit ribosomal RNA
Source: RNAcentral